UACGAAGGGGGCUAGCGUUGCUCGGAUUUACUGGGCGUAAAGGGCGCGUAGGCGGCCAGCGCAAGUCAGUUGUGAAAUCUCCGAGCUUAACUCGGAAAGGUCAACUGAUACUGCGCGGCUAGAGUGCAGAAGGGGCAACUGGAAUUCUCGGUGUAGCGGUGAAAUGCGUAGAUAUCGAGAGGAACACCUGCGGCGAAGGCGGGUUGCUGGGCUGACACUGACGCUGAUGCGCGAAAGCCAGGGGAGCGAACGGG
This 254-nucleotide ribosomal RNA is filed under the name uncultured bacterium. RNAcentral's name for it is "partial 16S ribosomal RNA". It matches the Rfam family "Bacterial small subunit ribosomal RNA", at positions 524 to 776 of the family's 1533-position model. The record is from RNAcentral.